This 340-nucleotide ribosomal RNA is filed under the name Coptotermes silvaticus. RNAcentral describes it as "partial 12S ribosomal RNA". Lineage: Eukaryota; Metazoa; Arthropoda; Insecta; Blattodea; Rhinotermitidae. The record is from RNAcentral.
UGUCGGAGUAGUACUAGGUAUGUUCUUGAAACUUAAAGAAUUUGGCGGUAUCUUAUUCCGUUCAGAGGAAUCUGUCUCGUUAUCGAUAGUCCGCGUUGGACCUUACUUGGUUGCUAUGGUUUGUAUACCGCCGUUUAUUGAUUAUGCUUUUAGGGUUAUUUAAUUUUCUGGUUUCUUUAUUUUGGUUUAUUUCAGGUCAAGGUGCAGCUUGUUUCUAAGUGUUAUGAUGGAUUACAUUGUUUUAUUGUUGUUUGGAUUACUGGUUGAAUUAUUGGUAGGAAAUUGGAUUUGAUUGUAAUGUUUUGAAGAUUGUUUUCGUGAUAAUUGGUUCUAAGAUAUG